CUUCUACCCCUCGGGCCAAAUAUAUUACAAGCAGGAUGAUCCCUAUCUUCCCCUUCUGGUAGAUAAGCUCUCCAGUACCAAUCCCUAUCUUGAACUGUUACAAAGUAUUUACCAUCCAAUCUCUUCUCGGAUUCAGUCCUCUUUUGGCCACCAAACAUUGGAUGGAGGUCCUCUUUUGGCCACCAAACAUUGGAUGAAGUAGAAUAUUACCCAAUACCUUAAUAUCGGCUUCCGCAGCCCUCACAGCAACAUGGUGAGCAAUAUUACCACCAGAACUAUCACCGGCCAAGUAAACAUGAACUUUCAAAUCCUUUCCACUCUGAAGCCAUGGCCUUGAUUGCACCCAUUGAAGAGCAGUCCAUCCGUCAUCGUAAGCACAAGGAUAGCGAUGCUCAGGUGAUCGUCGAUAAUUCACAGAAACAACAACAGCCUUGCAAAUGCUAACAAGGCGACGGCAAAAUGUAUCAUAAAUAGCACUAUUGGCUGAAGAAUGAGUAAAACUUCCACCAUGGAAGAAAAUAAUGACAGGUACUAUUUCUGUGGUGCUCAAAGGUUUCUCAAGCUCAACUUUAGCCCAAUCGGCCUCAUUUUUUGGGGCUGGUCUAUAGACGCGGUUAAGCAGGCUUGUAGCACGAUCAAUGACAUCAAAAGAGUAAACUCCAUCAACUGGAAUCGAGUUUGCAGCAACUUUCCUUUCCAAGAACUCAGCCAAAUCUCGAUUAAAAGUGCCAUCAGAACGACGAAGCAUGUUGUAAGCCAGCUUGAAAUUGGAUAUAAGAAUCCAUGUAUUAAGUGGAACUACUCUCUGCCAAAAUGGACAUAAUAUGGCCCAGUCAUUACAAAAAUAACAUCUACAAAUAGUAGAACCAAUAUCCACUUCCCAUUCUGAGGUGCUAACAGCAAAUUGAUCAUAGCAAUAUGCAUCUUGUGACAAUCCACAAAUAGUCACAACAAAUAAAGGAAAUAUUAGGCAAUUUUUUUAUGCAUAGCCAGAAAGAGAAAGUAGCAAACGGAAAAGAAAGAAUCAAACCCCAAAAGAGCAAAUAGGAAAGUAAAAAGUGAUU
This 1064-nucleotide long non-coding RNA is filed under the name Nicotiana benthamiana. RNAcentral describes it as "long non-coding RNA (NBEN_LNC018076)". Lineage: Eukaryota; Viridiplantae; Streptophyta; Magnoliopsida; Solanales; Solanaceae. The record is from RNAcentral.